Molecule: long non-coding RNA, 126 nt
Organism: Haliotis rubra (blacklip abalone)
Lineage: Eukaryota; Metazoa; Mollusca; Gastropoda; Lepetellida; Haliotidae
Exons: 2
Source: RefSeq, a predicted model, not a curated record
GUUGGGUAGCCUAGUGGUUAAAGUGUUCACUUGUCACACCAAAGACCCGGGUUUGAUUCCCCACAUGGGUACAAUGUUGUGAAGCCCAUUUCUGGUGUACCCUGCCGUGAUAUAGCUGGAAUAUUA